Molecule: ribosomal RNA, 438 nt
Filed under: uncultured bacterium
Lineage: Bacteria
Description: partial 16S ribosomal RNA
Rfam family: Bacterial small subunit ribosomal RNA
Source: RNAcentral
CUACGGGUGGCAGCAGUGAGGAAUAUUGCACAAUGGGGGAACCCUGAUGCAGCAACGCCGCGUGGAGGAUGACGCAUUUCGGUGUGUAAACUCCUUUUAUAUGUCAAGAAAAUGACGGUAGCAUAUGAAUAAGCACCGGCUAACUCCGUGCCAGCAGCCGCGGUAAUACGGAGGGUGCAAGCGUUACUCGGAAUCACUGGGCGUAAAGGACGCGUAGGCGGGUUGGAAAGUCAGGUGUGAAAUCCUACAGCUUAACUGUAGAACUGCACUUGAAACUUCUAAUCUAGAGUAUGGGAGGGGGAAAUGGAAUUAGUGGUGUAGGGGUAAAAUCCGUAGAUAUCACUAGGAAUACCUAAAGCGAAGGCGAUCUCCUGGAACAUUAUUGACGCUGAGACGCGAAAGCGUGGGGAGCAAACAGGAUUAGAUACCCCGGUAGUC